RNAcentral lists this ribosomal RNA (258 nucleotides) under uncultured bacterium. RNAcentral's name for it is "partial 16S ribosomal RNA". It matches the Rfam family "Bacterial small subunit ribosomal RNA", at positions 524 to 776 of the family's 1533-position model. The record is from RNAcentral.
UACGGGGGGGGCUAGUGUUACUCAUCAUUACUGGGUGUAAAGCGUACGUAGGCGGUUUAUUAAGUUUGAAUUAUGACAAUCCAAGCAUAACUUGGAAAAUUUUUUUUUAUACUGGUAAUCUAGAGGUUUAAGGAGGAAAGCUAUAUUUCUGAAGUUUAGGGAUGAAAUCCUUAGAGAUCAGGGGAAUAACCAGCAGGCGAAGGCGGCUUUCCAUAAAAAUUCUGACGCUGAAGUUCUUAAGCGUGGGUCGCAAACGGG